This 373-nucleotide ribosomal RNA is filed under the name uncultured bacterium. RNAcentral's name for it is "bacterial SSU rRNA". It matches the Rfam family "Bacterial small subunit ribosomal RNA", at positions 525 to 896 of the family's 1533-position model. The record is from RNAcentral.
ACGGAGGGUGCAAGCGUUAAUCGGAAUUACUGGGCGUAAAGCGUGCGUAGGCGGUAAGUUAAGUCUGCUGUGAAAUCCCUGGGCUCAACCUGGGAAUGGCGGUGGAUACUGGCUUGCUGGAGUACGGUAGAGGAAGGUGGAAUUCCCGGUGUAGCGGUGAAAUGCGUAGAGAUCGGGAGGAACAUCAGUGGCGAAGGCGACCUUCUGGACCAGUACUGACGCUGAGGCACGAAAGCGUGGGGAGCAAACAGGAUUAGAUACCCUGGUAGUCCACGCCCUAAACGAUGCGAACUGGAGGUUGGGUGCAACUUGGCACGCAGUCUCGAAGCUAACGCGUUAAGUUCGCCGCCUGGGGAGUACGGUCGCAAGACUG